AUGGCGCUGCCCUCCGAGGAGGUGGUGGCCAUACUCGCGCCGAUCAUCGUGUACUGGGUCGCCGCCGGCGUGUACACGGUGCUCGGCCGUGUACUGGCUGACCACAGGCUCCACUCGAGGGAGGAGGAGGAGGUCAGGAACCUCGUCCCCAAGCGUGUCGUGGUCCGCACCGUCCUCCUCCAGCACGUUCUCCAGGCGGCCAUAGCCUUCGCCGUCUUCAAUGUAAGCGCAGGUGUACCACAUUCAUCGAUGCUAGCUACUCAGGUGGCCGUGCAACUGAACUCAAGUUAUUACUGGACGCAGGUGAAGCGAGAAGAUCGCCGGGCUGCCGACGCCGGCACCGGCGCCGCCACUCCCGCCGUGGCCGUCGUCUGCUGCCAGUUCAUGGUCGCCAUGGUGGUCCUCGACGCGUGGCAGUACGGGUGGCACCGCCUGAUGCACAGCAGCGGCCUGCUGUACCGCCAUGUCCACUCCUGGCACCACCGGCUGGUGGCGCCGUACGCCUACGGCGCCCAGUACAACCACCCGCUGGAGGGCCUGAUACUGGACACGGCCGGCGGCGCGCUGGCGCUGGCCGUGACGGGGAUGGCGCCCCUGACGGCCGCCGCCUUCUUCUCGUUCGCGACUCUCAAGGCCGUCGACGACCACUCCGGCGUGCUUGUCCCGGGCAACCCGCUGCAUCUCCUGUUCCGCAACAACACGGCCUACCACGACGUCCACCACCAGGUUCGUGGUGGCCGCUGCAACUACGCGCAGCUGUUCUUUGUGGCGUGGGACAAGCUGAUGGGCACGUACGUCCCUUACGAGGUCGUCAGAGCUCCGCACGGCGGACUGGAGGCCGUGCCGUUGAAGAAGAAGUUGAAGACCUGA
Molecule: ribosomal RNA, 870 nt
Filed under: Triticum aestivum (bread wheat)
Lineage: Eukaryota; Viridiplantae; Streptophyta; Magnoliopsida; Poales; Poaceae
Description: partial small subunit ribosomal RNA
Source: RNAcentral